AAACAUGGACCCAUGAAAGAAGAACAUGGGCUUGGGAUGGAGCUACAGGUCCUGCUGCAUUGGCCCCCGUCUGAUCUUCAGAAUUUCUGCUUUGUGCCCAGCCAACAAGGUACAGAAGCAGUCAAGCAGGAGGACAAGUUCUCAGGAUCUGCCUAUCAUCUUUCCCUGCCUGGAAGGAAGCACAUCUCCCGGAUGAUCAGAAGUGUCCAGAAAUCACAAUGGGAGGUUAAAAUGUAUAGAUGAUACUACUACAACCUUGAGGUGCCCAAUUCCUUGUGGCAAUAAGAUCCUCAGCAUCAUUACAUGUUGUAACUUGGAAUCAGUGGUAGUCAGCUUUGAGCAAGCUAAGG
RNAcentral lists this long non-coding RNA (350 nucleotides) under Gallus gallus (chicken). Its description in RNAcentral is "lncRNA (ENSGALG00010021312.1)". Lineage: Eukaryota; Metazoa; Chordata; Aves; Galliformes; Phasianidae. The record is from RNAcentral.